Molecule: long non-coding RNA, 880 nt
Filed under: Carica papaya (papaya)
Lineage: Eukaryota; Viridiplantae; Streptophyta; Magnoliopsida; Brassicales; Caricaceae
Description: long non-coding RNA (CPAP_LNC004364)
Source: RNAcentral
UGCAAAUCUCCAUUGAAGUAUUUUUAAGCAAUCAAAUUAUAUCAUUGCUUUACCCACACACUUACCAUUUAAACCCAUAUAAACAUUAUAUAAAUACAUAACAUGCUAAAAGCUGAAAGAAACAAUUUUAUUUUGUUCUAAGAACAAAAGGACCCAGAACUCUUUUGUUUCUUCUCUUUAACAAUUCUCACAAACACUCGGUGGGCACCGCAAAAUGCAAAACAUGACAAAAGCUGUAGUAAUAAUUUCAUGGAGGUGUGAGUCGUUGAGAGAAUGUUUGGGAUGCAUGCAUAUAUUUUUUUUUUAUUGACCAGUUUUACGUGCACGUUUUGAUCAAUGUUCCAUACAAUGUUAGUCUUUUUUUUUUAGUUGAUGAUUGUAGUGCAAAUAUUGAAUCAUUUAUACAAGAAAAAACUUAUACGAUCUCGGUAUAAAUGAAUCGAACAUCUUACAAAUUGUUGUUUAUUUAUCCUGAUUUUAUAUAAAAUUAUUAUAUUGGAUGAACAUGUAAAUACACACAUGCGGUAUAGGAGAUUUGAACUGAGUCAUAAAAAAAAAUGGAAACCCAGUAAUAAUUUUCAGUCUUUUUUACCCUCCCCCUCCCCAAGAAAACCUUAUCUUCCAAGCAUGAUCACCCUUUUUCUUUUCUUCAACAUUCUCACGAGCAUUUGGCAGGCACCGGAAAAUAUGAAGGAAAACAUGCCAAAAAGCUUCUUUCUGCACCAUAAUUCAAUGGAUCUGAGGUGGGAUGAGUUGCAGACAAGCUUUCUUUUUUAUUUUUUUGAUUUUUGGGAACUUACACAUGUUGGCUAACACGUUAUAAUAACAACAAUUAUAAUAGUAAUAACAGAAAGACUAUAAUAUUUCACCGAACACAUAU